GUAGGGGGGCAAGCGUUGUCCGGAAUUAUUGGGCGUAAAGCGCGCGCAGGGCGGUCCUUUAAGUCUGAUGUGAAAGCCCACGGCUCAACCGUGGAGGGUCAUUGGAAACUGGGGGACUUGAGUACAGAAGAGGAAAGCGGAAUUCCAAGUGUAGCGGUGAAAUGCGUAGAGAUUUGGAGGAACACCAGUGGCGAAGGCGGCUUUCUGGUCUGUAACUGACGCUGAGGCGCGAAAGCGUGGGGAGCAAACAGGAUUAGAUACCCUGGUAGUCCACGCCGUAAACGAUGAGUGCUAAGUGUUAGGGGGUUUCCGCCCCUUAGUGCUGCAGCUAACGCAUUAAGCACUCCGCCUGGGGAGUACGGCCGCAAAGGCUG
Molecule: ribosomal RNA, 374 nt
Filed under: uncultured organism
Description: partial 16S ribosomal RNA
Rfam family: Bacterial small subunit ribosomal RNA
Source: RNAcentral